UUCGCAGUUUUCUUUGCCUGAUUGGUUUCUCUAUCCAUGAGUUUUCUGUGUGCUUCACCGCCGUGGUUUUCUUGGGGUGGCCCCACUUCCCACCCUCCUCUGGAUCUUUGCGGUGGGAUGAUGAUGAUGGUGAUGAUGAUGAUGUGUGUUUUCCACAUUGGUGAUCACUCCAAAGGGCCCCAUCAGGAAAGUGGGAAGUCUUCAUUUUCAAGCAGAAGGUGGAAACUGAGGUUGAGGACUCAACACGGGAAUCUCCUACACUGCACAUGGAUAAUAAUAAAAAUAAAAAGCAGAAGAGACCAGUCGCUUACCCUUUUAUCCAACAAAGGGAUCUCAAUGGCUUAUGUGAGAUCUGAAAGGUGCAUCUAGGAGACUGUCCUUUAUGACAGGGAUGAGCAUUUCUUAUUCCUGUGGAGGAACCAAAAGGGGUAGGAAGUCUUGCUAGC
Long non-coding RNA from Corvus hawaiiensis (hawaiian crow), 446 nucleotides. RefSeq lists it as uncharacterized. The transcript is spliced from 3 exons. The record is from RefSeq and is a predicted model, not a curated record. NCBI's taxonomy places the organism in Eukaryota, Metazoa, Chordata, Aves, Passeriformes, Corvidae.